This 261-nucleotide ribosomal RNA is filed under the name Goniomonas pacifica. RNAcentral's name for it is "partial Bacterial small subunit ribosomal RNA". It matches the Rfam family "Bacterial small subunit ribosomal RNA", at positions 533 to 793 of the family's 1533-position model. Lineage: Eukaryota; Cryptophyceae; Goniomonadida; Goniomonadaceae. The record is from RNAcentral.
UGCAAGCGUUAAUCGGAAUUACUGGGCGUAAAGCGUGCGCAGGCGGUUAUGCAAGACAGAGGUGAAAUCCCCGGGCUCAACCUGGGAACUGCCUUUGUGACUGCAUGGCUAGAGUACGGUAGAGGGGGAUGGAAUUCCGCGUGUAGCAGUGAAAUGCGUAGAUAUGCGGAGGAACACCGAUGGCGAAGGCAAUCCCCUGGACCUGUACUGACGCUCAUGCACGAAAGCGUGGGGAGCAAACAGGAUUAGAUACCCUGGUAG